Engraulis encrasicolus (European anchovy) is the source of this 507-nucleotide long non-coding RNA. RefSeq lists it as uncharacterized. Lineage: Eukaryota; Metazoa; Chordata; Actinopteri; Clupeiformes; Engraulidae. The record is from RefSeq and is a predicted model, not a curated record. The transcript has 3 exons.
GGCUUGCACCAACUUCCAAAAACCCAAAUUGAUGCCUGUCCCGUUAUUUUCGGCCAUUUCAGUGAUGAUGAAUCUGAACGUCAGUCUUGAACAGAAACUAGAGCUCUGAUGGAUCGGGGUUCCAAGCAGCUGCUGAUAGACCAUGAUGGCUGCACCUCAUGACCACCUACAUCCUGAAGACAAUAAAUAUGCUUAUUGGGCUGUAGUGACAAACAUGUACAUUUCUUUAGAGGGACACUGUGUGAGAUUUUUAGUUGUUUAUUUCCAGAAUUCAUGCUGCCCAUUCACUAAUGUUACCUUUUUCAUGAAUACUUACCACCAGCAUCAAAUUAAGUGUUCAUUAUGACUGGGAAAAUUGCACUUUUCAAACAUGAAAAGGGGGAUCUUCUCCAUUGUCCGCCAUUUUGAAUUUCCAAAAAUGACUGUACUUGGACCAUACUCGAAAAUAUUUGUUAAAUACUUAAAUAUUCAUGUUAAAAUCAAAUUUGGCAAUAGGCAGCCCAAUUU